RNAcentral lists this transfer RNA (71 nucleotides) under Monacoa niger. RNAcentral describes it as "Monacoa sp. JYP-2016b tRNA-Ser (UCN)". It matches the Rfam family "tRNA". From Rfam's summary of the family: Transfer RNA (tRNA) molecules are approximately 80 nucleotides in length. Their secondary structure includes four short double-helical elements and three loops (D, anti-codon, and T loops). Further hydrogen bonds mediate the characteristic L-shaped molecular structure. tRNAs have two regions of fundamental functional importance: the anti-codon, which is responsible for specific mRNA codon recognition, and the 3' end, to which the tRNAs corresponding amino acid is attached (by aminoacyl-tRNA synthetases). tRNAs cope with the degeneracy of the genetic code in two manners: having more than one tRNA (with a specific anti-codon) for a particular amino acid; and 'wobble' base-pairing, i.e. permitting non-standard base-pairing at the 3rd anti-codon position. Lineage: Eukaryota; Metazoa; Chordata; Actinopteri; Argentiniformes; Opisthoproctidae. The record is from RNAcentral.
AAGAAAGUGGCGGAGUGGUUAGGCAGCUGACUUGAAAUUAGUGCACGGGGGUUCAAUUCCCUCCUUUCUCG